Molecule: ribosomal RNA, 510 nt
Filed under: uncultured microorganism
Description: bacterial SSU rRNA
Rfam family: Bacterial small subunit ribosomal RNA
Source: RNAcentral
GAGUUUGAUCGUGGCUCAGGAUGAACACUGGCGGCGUGCCUAAUACAUGCAAGUCGAGCGAACGGACGAGAAGCUUGCUUCUCUGAUGUUAGCGGCGGACGGGUGAGUAACACGUGGAUAACCUACCUAUAAGACUGGGAUAACUUCGGGAAACUGGAGCUAAUACCGGAUAAUAUUUUGAACCGCAUGGUUCAAAAGUGAAAGACGGUCUUGCUGUCACUUAUAGAUGGAUCCGCGCUGCAUUAGCUAGUUGGUAAGGUAACGGCUUACCAAGGCAACGAUGCAUAGCCGACCUGAGAGGGUGAUCGGCCACACUGGAACUGAGACACGGUCCAGACUCCUACGGGAGGCAGCAGUAGGGAAUCUUCCGCAAUGGGCGAAAGCCUGACGGAGCAACGCCGCGUGAGUGAUGAAGGUCUUCGGAUCGUAAAACUCUGUUAUUAGGGAAGAACAUAUGUGUAAGUAACUGUGCACAUCUUGACGGUACCUAAUCAGAAGGCCACGGCUAAC